CUAGGAGAACCGAAAACAGUUCUAGACUGACCUGCGGUUUUAUAGCACUUUGGCAGUCAACUUCAGCUUGUGUCAGAGCAGACAUGACAGAGCUGCCCAAGGCUUAAUCGCGGGACGCCACCUCCUCGGACUCACAGCAGCCCCCCUCUUGCAUUUCAAUAAAUUUCAAACCUUGGGGCUAGAAAUGGGGAGCAGAGCUG
Molecule: long non-coding RNA, 200 nt
Organism: Balearica pavonina (black crowned-crane)
Lineage: Eukaryota; Metazoa; Chordata; Aves; Gruiformes; Gruidae
Rfam family: HOXA11 antisense RNA 1 conserved region 5
Source: Rfam